CAAAUCCCAGAAAUAACGUCCCAGUUCGGAUUGCAGUCUGCAACUCGACUGCAUGAAGCUGGAAUCGCUAGUAAUCGCGAAUCAGCAUGUCGCGGUGAAUACGUUCCCGGGUCUUGUACACACCGCCCGUCACACCAUGGGAGUCGGAAAUGCCCGAAGCCAGUGACCCAACCUUUAAGGAGGGAGCUGUCGAAGGCAGGUCUGGUAACUGGGGUGAAGUCGUAACAAGGUACC
Molecule: ribosomal RNA, 234 nt
Filed under: uncultured bacterium
Lineage: Bacteria
Description: partial 16S ribosomal RNA
Rfam family: Bacterial small subunit ribosomal RNA
Source: RNAcentral